RNAcentral lists this transfer RNA (68 nucleotides) under Campellolebias dorsimaculatus. Its description in RNAcentral is "tRNA-Val". The record is from RNAcentral. Lineage: Eukaryota; Metazoa; Chordata; Actinopteri; Cyprinodontiformes; Rivulidae.
CAGAGCAUAGCUAAACUUUAUAGCUCUUCUCUUACGCUGAAAAAUUGCUUGCGCAAAUCAGGCUGCUC